Molecule: ribosomal RNA, 449 nt
Filed under: uncultured bacterium
Lineage: Bacteria
Description: partial 16S ribosomal RNA
Rfam family: Bacterial small subunit ribosomal RNA
Source: RNAcentral
AAUGGACGCUGGCGGCAGGCCUAACACAUGCAAGUCGAACGGAUCCUUCGGGAUUAGUGGCGGACGGGUGAGUAACGCGUGGGAACAUACCCAAAGGUACGGAAUAGCCUCGGGAAACUGGGAGUAAUACCGUAUGUGCUCGAAAGAGGAAAGAUUUAUCGCCUUUGGAUUGGCCCGCGUUGGAUUAGGUAGUUGAUGGGGUAAUGGCCUACCAAGCCGACGAUCCAUAGCUGGUUUGAGAGGAUGAUCAGCCACACUGGGACUGAGACACGGCCCAGACUCCUACGGGAGGCAGCAGUGGGGAAUCUUAGACAAUGGGGGAAACCCUGAUCUAGCCAUGCCGCGUGAUCGAUGAAGGCCUUAGGGUUGUAAAGAUCUUUCAGGUGGGAAGAUAAUGACUGUACCACCAGAAGAAGCCCCGGCUAACUCCGUGCCAGCAGCCGCCGUAA